This 34-nucleotide ribosomal RNA is filed under the name Oxalis niederleinii. RNAcentral describes it as "partial 26S ribosomal RNA". Lineage: Eukaryota; Viridiplantae; Streptophyta; Magnoliopsida; Oxalidales; Oxalidaceae. RNAcentral also lists the same sequence under 2 other names. The record is from RNAcentral.
CCGACCCCAGGUCAGGCGGGAUUACCCGCUGAGU